CAGCCGCCGCGGUAAUACGUAGGGUGCGAGCGUUAAUCGGAUUUACUGGGCGUAAAGCGUGCGCAGGCGGCCCGUUAAGACAGGUGUGAAAUCCCUGGGCUCAACCUAGGAAUUGCGCUUGUGACUGGCGGGCUCGAGUACGGUAGAGGGGGGUGGAAUUCCUGGUGUAGCAGUGAAAUGCGUAGAGAUCAGGAGGAACACCGAUGGCGAAGGCAGCCCCCUGGGCCUGUACUGACGCUCAUGCACGAAAGCGUGGGGAGCAAAAAGGAUUAGAUACCCUGGUAGUCCACGCCCUAAACGAUGGGUACUAGCCGUUUGGUGCGCGAAAGCGCUGAGUGGCGAAGCUAACGCGUGAAGUACCCCGCCUGGGGAGUACGGCCGCAAGGUUGAAACUUAAAGGAAUUGGCGGG
This 410-nucleotide ribosomal RNA is filed under the name uncultured microorganism. Its description in RNAcentral is "bacterial SSU rRNA". It matches the Rfam family "Bacterial small subunit ribosomal RNA", at positions 509 to 917 of the family's 1533-position model. The record is from RNAcentral.